GCGAUAGCUCAACUGGCAAAGCGUCCGCCCGGUAAGCGGAAUGUCACCGGUUUGUUUCCGGCUCCGGGCG
RNAcentral lists this transfer RNA (70 nucleotides) under Fasciola gigantica. RNAcentral describes it as "tRNA-Thr". Lineage: Eukaryota; Metazoa; Platyhelminthes; Trematoda; Plagiorchiida; Fasciolidae. The record is from RNAcentral.